GUACGGCGAGUGAGCGGCGAAAGCUCAAAUUUGAAAUCUGGUACCUUCGGUGCCCGAGUUGUAAUUUGGAGAGGGCAACUUUGGGGCCGUUCCUUGUCUAUGUUCCUUGGAACAGGACGUCAUAGAGGGUGAGAAUCCCGUGUGGCGAGGAGUGCGGUUCUUUGUAAAGUGCCUUCGAAGAGUCGAGUUGUUUGGGAAUGCAGCUCUAAGUGGGUGGUAAAUUCCAUCUAAAGCUAAAUAUUGGCGAGAGACCGAUAGCGAACAAGUACAGUGAUGGAAAGAUGAAAAGAACUUUGAAAAGAGAGUGAAAAAGUACGUGAAAUUGUUGAAAGGGAAGGGCAUUUGAUCAGACAUGGUGUUUUGUGCCCUCUGCUCCUUGUGGGUAGGGGAAUCUCGCAUUUCACUGGGCCAGCAUCAGUUUUGGUGGCAGGAUAAAUCCAUAGGAAUGUAGCUUGCCUCGGUAAGUAUUAUAGCCUGUGGGAAUACUGCCAGCUGGGACUGAGGACUGCGACGUAAGUCAAGGAUGCUGGCAUAAUGGUUAUAUGCCGCCCGUCU
This 555-nucleotide ribosomal RNA is filed under the name Saccharomyces cerevisiae (brewer's yeast). Its description in RNAcentral is "eukaryotic LSU rRNA". It matches the Rfam family "Eukaryotic large subunit ribosomal RNA", at positions 83 to 654 of the family's 3401-position model. The record is from RNAcentral. Lineage: Eukaryota; Fungi; Ascomycota; Saccharomycetes; Saccharomycetales; Saccharomycetaceae.